GUGCAAUGAUGCAUUUUAUUCAGCACAUCAUUCUGAAAAGUACAGAUGUGUGAAAACUAAUGACUGAGCACA
Octodon degus (degu) is the source of this 72-nucleotide small nucleolar RNA. Its record names the gene SNORD63. It matches the Rfam family "Small nucleolar RNA SNORD63". Rfam says of the family: snoRNA U63 is found in both humans and mice. U63 is a member of the C/D class of snoRNA which contain C (UGAUGA) and D (CUGA) box motifs. The record is from Ensembl. Lineage: Eukaryota; Metazoa; Chordata; Mammalia; Rodentia; Octodontidae.